GAUGAACGCUGGCGGCGUGCCUAAUACAUGCAAGUCGAGCGAACGGACGAGAAGCUUGCUUCUCUGAUGUUAGCGGCGGACGGGUGAGUAACACGUGGAUAACCUACCUAUAAGACUGGGAUAACUUCGGGAAACCGGAGCUAAUACCGGAUAAUAUUUUGAACCGCAUGGUUCAAAAGUGAAAGACGGUCUUGCUGUCACUUAUCGAUGGAUCCGCGCUGCAUUAGCUAGUUGGUAAGGUAACGGCUUACCAAGGCAACGAUGCAUAGCCGACCUGAGAGGGUGAUCGGCCACACUGGAACUGAGACACGGUCCAGACUCCUAAGGGAGGCAGCAGUAGGGAAUCUUCCGCAAUGGGCGAAAGCCUGACGGAGCAACGCCGCGUGAGUGAUGAAGGUCUUCGGAUCGUAAAACUCUGUUAUUAGGGAAGAACAUAUGUGUAAGUAACUGUGCACAUCUUGACGGUACCUAAUCAGAAAGCCACGGCUAACUACGUG
This 497-nucleotide ribosomal RNA is filed under the name uncultured bacterium. RNAcentral describes it as "partial 16S ribosomal RNA". It matches the Rfam family "Bacterial small subunit ribosomal RNA", at positions 28 to 507 of the family's 1533-position model. The record is from RNAcentral.